This 204-nucleotide ribosomal RNA is filed under the name uncultured Staphylococcus sp. RNAcentral describes it as "partial 16S ribosomal RNA". It matches the Rfam family "Bacterial small subunit ribosomal RNA", at positions 150 to 355 of the family's 1533-position model. The record is from RNAcentral. Lineage: Bacteria; Bacillati; Bacillota; Bacilli; Caryophanales; Staphylococcaceae.
CGGGAACCGGAGCAUACGAUAUAUUUGAACCGCAUGGUUCAAAGUGAAAGACGGUCUUGCUGUCACUUAUAGAUGGAUCCGCGCUGCAUUAGCUAGUUGGUAAGGUAACGGCUUACCAAGGCAACGAUGCAUAGCCGACCUGAGAGGGUGAUCGGCCACACUGGAACUGAGACACGGUCCAGACUCCUACGGGAGGCAGCAGCU